UUGCAGACGAUGAAAGGAUAAAAAGUACAGAAAGUGAACUUGACUAUUAAAGUGGGAUAGUGGAAAGCACUGCACACUGGGAGUCAGCUGUUUUAGUCACUCUGAAAUUAUGGCAACAAUUGUACUUCCUGUUUUGUUCAUUGUGAUGGCAGCUUGGCAGGAAUCCUGUUGCAUCUAUCCAGGUUGGUGUUGGCAUGGCCUUCCAGAUUAGCAGUCUUGGAGUUAACAUUGCGAUGAAUGGGGCAUCUCUCAUAGCUACUGUUUCUGGCUCUCUACAGAUCCAGGGAAUCAUCACUGAAUUGGGUACACUCAGAUCAUAUUGUCAAGAUUUUCUUCACAACCAUGAGGGAUGGAGACUUUCUGCUCUAAAUUCUGACUUAAUCGCACAUUCCAGGAACUGGGGGCCCUAGAUAUGGGCCUGUAGUACAGAUGCCUUAAUCCAGCCCUGGAUUGAUUGAAGCCAAUAACUCAAUAAUUACCAAUAGCCUACUAAUGCACUCCAUGAGUAGUUUACCAGUACUAUAAUAUGAAUCAUUAAUUUGACUUUUAAAAACCAUUUAAAAAAAACAUGCUUGGGAGUUUGGGUGGGGAGGCAUGUUGCAGAGUAUGACUUGCAGGUGAGAAGCUUUUCUGGAGUUUUUCAAAUUUUAUUGUUACGUCUAUUUGAUUAUUCCAGGUUGCUGCUUAAUGGGAUUAAUUUAUUUGUAUCUGAGUAUUCAUGAUGCUGACUGGUUAUUACUCAAUGAUUGUAUGGGAGCAU
This is a long non-coding RNA of Mauremys reevesii (Reeves's turtle), 760 nucleotides long. RefSeq lists it as uncharacterized. The transcript has 3 exons. Lineage: Eukaryota; Metazoa; Chordata; Testudines; Geoemydidae. The record is from RefSeq and is a predicted model, not a curated record.